RNAcentral lists this ribosomal RNA (465 nucleotides) under uncultured bacterium. RNAcentral's name for it is "partial 16S ribosomal RNA". It matches the Rfam family "Bacterial small subunit ribosomal RNA", at positions 28 to 507 of the family's 1533-position model. The record is from RNAcentral.
GACGAACGCUGGCGGCGUGCUUAACACAUGCAAGUCGAACGGAAAGGCCCCUUCGGGGGUACUCGAGUGGCGAACGGGUGAGUAACACGUGAGUAACCUGCCCUUGACUUCGGGAUAACUUCAGGAAACUGGGGCUAAUACCGGAUAGGAAUCCUUGCUGCAUGGUGGGGGUUGGAAAGCUUCGGCGGUUUUGGAUGGACUCGCGGCUUAUCAGCUUGUUGGUGGGGUAGUGGCUUACCAAGGCUUUGACGGGUAGCCGGCCUGAGAGGGCGACCGGCCACAUUGGGACUGAGAGACGGCCCAGACUCCUACGGGAGGAAGCAGUGGGGAAUAUUGCACAAGGGGCGGAAGCCUGAUGCAGCAACGCCGCGUGCGGGAUGACGGCCUUCGGGUUGUAAACCGCUUUCAGCAGGGGCGAAGCUUGUGGUGACGGUACCUGCAGAAGAAGCACCGGCUAACUACGUG